Molecule: ribosomal RNA, 465 nt
Filed under: uncultured bacterium
Lineage: Bacteria
Description: bacterial SSU rRNA
Rfam family: Bacterial small subunit ribosomal RNA
Source: RNAcentral
GGCCAGACUCCUACGGGAGGCAGCAGUGAGGAAUAUUGGUCAAUGGUCGGGAGACUGAACCAGCCAAGCCGCGUGAGGGAUGAAGGUACAGAGUAUCGUAAACCUCUUUUGUCAGGGAACAAAGGCGGGGACGCGUCCCCGGAUGAGUGUACCUGAAGAAAAAGCAUCGGCUAACUCCGUGCCAGCAGCCGCGGUAAUACGGAGGAUGCGAGCGUUAUCCGGAUUUAUUGGGUUUAAAGGGUGCGCAGGCGCUUUGAUAAGCAGGGGGACACGGCCGGGGACCCACCCCGGGCCCGCCAUUGAAACUGGCGCUCUUGAGUGGAAGAGAAGUAUGCGGAAUGCGUGGUGUAGCGGUGAAAUGCAUAGAUAUCACGCAGAACCCCGAUUGCGAAGGCAGCAUGCCGGCUUCCGACUGACGCUGAAGCACGAAAGCGUGGGGAUCGAACAGGAUUAGAUACCCUUGUA